RNAcentral lists this ribosomal RNA (216 nucleotides) under Glomeromycotina sp. RNAcentral describes it as "partial small subunit ribosomal RNA". The stretch from base 37 to 216 matches the Rfam family "Eukaryotic small subunit ribosomal RNA", at positions 683 to 864 of the family's 1831-position model. Lineage: Eukaryota; Fungi; Glomeromycota. The record is from RNAcentral.
GGGUCAGUAGGUUGGUCGUGCCACCGGUACGUACUGUUCUCACUGAUUCCUCCUUCCUGAAGAACCGUAAUGCCAUUAAUUUGGUGUUGCGGGGAAGCAGGACUGUUACUUUGAAAAAAUUAGAGUGUUUAAAGCAAGCUAACGCUUGAAUACAUUAGCAUGGAAUAAUGAAAUAGGACGAUCGAUCCUAUUUUGUUGGUUUCUAGGAUUGACGUA